GUGUGGACGCCAGUCUGCAUGGAGCCGGCCUUGAAAUACCACCCUUUAAUGUUUGAUGUUCUAACGUGGACCCGUGAUCCGGGUUGCGGACAGUGUCUGGUGGGUAGUUUGACUGGGGCGGUCUCCUCCUAAAGAGUAACGGAGGAGCACGAAGGUUGGCUAAUCCUGGUCGGACAUCAGGAGGUUAGUGCAAUGGCAUAAGCCAGCUUGACUGCGAGCGUGACGGCGCGAGCAGGUGCGAAAGCAGGUCAUAGUGAUCCGGUGGUUCUGAAUGGAAGGGCCAUCGCUCAACGGAUAAAAGGUACUCCGGGGAUAACAGGCUGAUACCGCCCAAGAGUUCAUAUCGACGGCGGUGUUUGGCACCUCGAUGUCGGCUCAUCACAUCCUGGGGCUGAAGUAGGUCCCAAGGGUAUGGCUGUUCGCCAUUUAAAGUGGUACGCGAGCUGGGUUUAGAACGUCGUGAGACAGUUCGGUCCCUAUCUGCCGUGGGCGCUGGAGAACUGAGGGGGGCUGCUCCUAGUACGAGAGGACCGGAGUGGACGCAUCACUGGUGUUCGGGUUGUCAUGCCAAUGGCACUGCCCGGUAGCUAAAUGCGGAAGAGAUAAGUGCUGAAAGCAUCUAAGCACGAAACUUGCCCCGAGAUGAGUUCUCCCUGACCCUUUAAGGGUCCUGAAGGAACGUUGAAGACGACGACGUUGAUAGGCCGGGUGUGUAAGCGCAGCGAUGCGUUGAGCUAACCGGUACUAAUGAACCGUGAGGCUUAACCUU
This 769-nucleotide ribosomal RNA is filed under the name Shigella sonnei. RNAcentral's name for it is "partial 23S ribosomal RNA". It matches the Rfam family "Bacterial large subunit ribosomal RNA", at positions 2162 to 2925 of the family's 2925-position model. The record is from RNAcentral. Lineage: Bacteria; Pseudomonadati; Pseudomonadota; Gammaproteobacteria; Enterobacterales; Enterobacteriaceae.